This 637-nucleotide ribosomal RNA is filed under the name uncultured bacterium. RNAcentral's name for it is "bacterial SSU rRNA". It matches the Rfam family "Bacterial small subunit ribosomal RNA", at positions 607 to 1244 of the family's 1533-position model. The record is from RNAcentral.
GCUCAACCGAGGAAGUGCUUCGAAAACUGGUAAACUUGAGUGCAGAAGAGGAAAGUGGAACUCCAUGGGUAGCGGUGGAAUGCGUAGAUAUAUGGAAGAACACCAGUGGCGAAGGCGGCUUUCUGGUCUGUAACUGACGCUGAGAUUCGAAAGCAUGGGUAGCAAACAGGAUUAGAUACCCUGGUAGUCCAUGCCGUAAACGAUGAGUGCUAAGUGUUGGAGGGUUUCCGCCCUUCAGUGCUGCAGCUAACGCAUUAAGCACUCCGCCUGGGGAGUACGACCGCAAGGUUGAAACUCAAAGGAAUUGACGGGGGCCCGCACAAGCGGUGGAGCAUGUGGUUUAAUUCGAAGCAACGCGAAGAACCUUACCAGGUCUUGACAUACCAUGAAAAGCUUAGAGAUAAGUCUUUCCCUUCGGGGACAUGGAUACAGGUGGUGCAUGGUUGUCGUCAGCUCGUGUCGUGAGAUGUUGGGUUAAGUCCCGCAACGAGCGCAACCCUUAUUAUCAGUUGCCAGCAUUCAGUUGGGCACUCUGGUUAGACUGCCGGUGACAAACCGGAGGAAGGUGGGGACGACGUCAAAUCAUCAUGCCCCUUAUGACCUGGGCUACACACGUGCUACAAUGGUCGGUACAACG